RNAcentral lists this ribosomal RNA (805 nucleotides) under Specklinia turrialbae. RNAcentral's name for it is "eukaryotic LSU rRNA". The stretch from base 325 to 480 matches the Rfam family "5.8S ribosomal RNA". Lineage: Eukaryota; Viridiplantae; Streptophyta; Magnoliopsida; Asparagales; Orchidaceae. The record is from RNAcentral.
GUUCGCCGCCCGUGACUCUGCGAGAAGUCCAUUGAACCUUAUCAUUUAGAGGAAGGAGAAGUCGUAACAAGGUUUCCGUAGGUGAACCUGCGGAAGGAUCAUUGUCGAGACCGAAAUAUAUCGAGCGAUUCGGAUAACCUGUGAAUGUGCGGCGGCACCCGCCGUCGUAAUUGCUGUCUCCAUCGCGGCAUCAUAAUUGGGGCCACGAUGAAAGGCAGCUGAAAACAAACCGGCGCAGCUACGCGCCAAGGGAAUACAAAUAGACACGAGCCUGUAUUGGGUUUGUUGGCGUGGAGUGCAUUCGCACACCACAACUAUCUAAACGACUCUCGGCAAUGGAUAUCUCGGCUCUCGCAUCGAUGAAGAGCGCAGCGAAAUGCGAUACGUGGUGCGAAUUGCAGAAUCCCGCGAACCAUCGAGAAUUUGAACGCAAGUUGCGCCCGAGGCCAACCGGCCAAGGGCACGUCCGCCUGGGCGUCAAGCGUUAUGUCGCUCCGUCCCAAAUCCAUGCCACACGAUGGGUGUGACCUGGGUAGGGUCGGAUGUGCAGAGUGGCUCGUCGUGUCCCCGGCCGCGGCGGGCUUAAGAGCGGGUGAUCGUCUCGUUGGCCACGAACAACAAGGGGUGGAUUAAAAUUGUGCCUGUGUUGUAUCGUGCUUGCGUGAGAAGAGAUUAUACCCAUUGGAUGAUCCCAAUCUAAGCGUCGGUCCACGGACAUCGGCUUGGAAUGCGACCCCAGGAUGGGCGAGGCCACCCGCUGAGUUUAAGCAUAUCAAUAAGCGGAGGAGAAGAAACUUACAAGGAU